RNAcentral lists this unclassified non-coding RNA (293 nucleotides) under Hevea brasiliensis (rubber tree). The record is from RNAcentral. Lineage: Eukaryota; Viridiplantae; Streptophyta; Magnoliopsida; Malpighiales; Euphorbiaceae.
UUCUCAUGCGUACACAACAUAUAAUAGUGUUCAUUUGAUGCCCAAAUCUAUUUAUUAUAUGAUGUGCAUGCGCACUGUCUUUUAAAAGCACUAGACUAGACCCAAUAAAUCUAAACGAUCCAUGAUGUUAAAUUGAACGCAUUGGCUUCACAACCAAAAAGAACACAAAGUAAUCAAUUUCAAAGUAAAACUGAAGAAAAAGAAAGAAAGUCCUCGAUUUCAAAUAUGAUAAUCACAAAAUGCCACUAUGCCACUAUGCCACUAGCUUAUUCCCAAUAAAUUUUCAAUCCAGA